AAUCCUGUGGUGAGGGCAUUUGCAUCCUAACUCUUUGAAUCUUUCUCAUGCCUCAUAUAAGGAUUCGUCAUCCAUUUGUAGAAAUGUGGGGAUCUCAUUCCGCAACU
Small nucleolar RNA from Gossypium raimondii (Peruvian cotton), 107 nucleotides. It matches the Rfam family "Plant small nucleolar RNA R71". From Rfam's summary of the family: R71 is a member of the C/D box family of snoRNAs containing the C (UGAUGA) and D (CUGA) box motifs. Multiple nearly identical copies of this snoRNA have been identified in Arabidopsis, and it is thought to function as a 2'-O-ribose methylation guide for 18S ribosomal RNA. NCBI's taxonomy places the organism in Eukaryota, Viridiplantae, Streptophyta, Magnoliopsida, Malvales, Malvaceae. The record is from Rfam.